RNAcentral lists this ribosomal RNA (486 nucleotides) under uncultured Pichia. Its description in RNAcentral is "eukaryotic LSU rRNA". It matches the Rfam family "Eukaryotic large subunit ribosomal RNA", at positions 62 to 556 of the family's 3401-position model. Lineage: Eukaryota; Fungi; Ascomycota; Saccharomycetes; Saccharomycetales; Saccharomycetaceae. The record is from RNAcentral.
AAACCAACAGGGAUUGCCUCAGUAGCGGCGAGUGAAGCGGCAAGAGCUCAGAUUUGAAAUCUCACCUAGUGUGCGAGUUGUAAAUUGCAGGUUGGAGUCUCGGGUUAGACGUGUGUGCAAGUCCCUUGGAACAGGGUGCCACUGAGGGUGAGAGCCCCGUAGCGUGCAUGUCGAUACCUGUGAGGCCCUUCUGACGAGUCGAGUUGUUUGGGAAUGCAGCUCUAAGUGGGUGGUAAAUUCCAUCUAAGGCUAAAUAUUGGCGAGAGACCGAUAGCGAACAAGUACUGUGAAGGAAAGAUGAAAAGCACUUUGAAAAGAGAGUGAAACAGCACGUGAAAUUGUUGAAAGGGAAGGGUAUUGGGCUCGACAUAGGGUAGUUUACGCAUCGUUGCCUCUCGUGGGCGGCGCUCUGGGUUUUCCCUGGGCCAGUCAUCGGUUUCGUGCAGGACAAGGACAAUUGGAAUGUGGCUCCGUCGGAGUGUUACU